UACGGGGGGGGCAAGCGUUGUUCGGAAUUACUGGGCGUAAAGGGCUCGUAGGUGGCCAACUAAGUCAGACGUGAAAUCCCUCAGCUUAACUGGGGAACUGCGUCUGAUACUGGUUAGCUUGAGUGCAGGAGAGGAACGCGGAAUUCCAGGUGUAGCGGUGAAAUGCGCAGAUAUCAGGAGGAACACCGGUGGCGAAGGCGGGUCUCUGGGCCGUAACUGACGCUGAGGAGCGAAAGCGUGGGGAGCGAACAGG
RNAcentral lists this ribosomal RNA (253 nucleotides) under uncultured bacterium. RNAcentral describes it as "partial 16S ribosomal RNA". It matches the Rfam family "Bacterial small subunit ribosomal RNA", at positions 524 to 776 of the family's 1533-position model. The record is from RNAcentral.